This 440-nucleotide ribosomal RNA is filed under the name uncultured bacterium. RNAcentral describes it as "partial 16S ribosomal RNA". It matches the Rfam family "Bacterial small subunit ribosomal RNA", at positions 338 to 795 of the family's 1533-position model. The record is from RNAcentral.
CCUACGGGCGGCAGCAGUGGGGGAUAUUGCACAAUGGGGGGAACCCUGAUGCAGCGACGCCGCGUGGGUGAAGAAGCGCCUCGGCGCGUAAAGCCCUGUCAGCAGGGAAGAAAAUGACGGUACCUGAAGCAUAAGCCCCGGCUAACUACGUGCCAGCAGCCGCGGUCAUACGUAGGGGGCAAGCGUUAUCCGGAUUUACUGGUGGUAAAGGGGGCGCAGACGGCGAUGCAAGCCAGGUGGGAAAGCCCGGGGCCCAACCCGGGGACUGCUCUUGGGACUGCGUGGCUGGAGUGCAGGAGGGGGAGGCGGAAUUCCUGGGGUAGCGGUGAAAUGCGUAGAUAUCAGGAGGAACACCGGUGGCGAAGGCGGCCUGCUGGACUGCAACUGACGUUGAGGCCCGAAAGCGUGGGGAGCAAACAGGAUUAGAUACCCCAGUAGUC